Long non-coding RNA from Herpailurus yagouaroundi (jaguarundi), 556 nucleotides. RefSeq lists it as uncharacterized. The record is from RefSeq and is a predicted model, not a curated record. The transcript is spliced from 2 exons. Lineage: Eukaryota; Metazoa; Chordata; Mammalia; Carnivora; Felidae.
GGGACAGAUAUCCCAAGGCAUCUGAGGACCAGCUGUUACUGGUGUAUUCAUUAGUAUGGACUGAGUUCUGGGAGUUAAGGGCUGUUUUUUCCCUCGGGAACCAGCUUGUUCCGUAGAGAAGGAGGAGAUUGGCUACGGUUGGCUGGUGGGAGGUGGCCAAAUCUGGCAGCACCGGAUGUUAUCAAGUGGACUCGCCUUUGGUUCCUCUGCGCGUUCAGUUUGCUCCUGCCUUUGACCUUGCCGAUGUAAGCCUGGAGCCCCUGGAGCCCCUGGAGCCCCUGGGGCUUGUGCUGGUAUCCUGGGGCUUUGGCCUCCGGGGGCCCUGGGCAUCCUGGAAGGCGAAAGAGGCCCCCACGACCCACAGAUUGCUGUGGUUGAGACUGAUGGAGGCAGGACACCGCCGACAGGCUGUUCCGGAGCUCCCCAUGCAGUUGGCUCAAGCUGUGGGACCUGCAUCGUAGCGUGACUCCUCCUUUUGCCCAAUUCUGCUUUGUCCUUUUCACAGGCGUUGAUCCAAAGGGUGCUCCCUAAUGAACACUGUGAACACUGAACUUUA